This 373-nucleotide ribosomal RNA is filed under the name uncultured organism. RNAcentral describes it as "partial 16S ribosomal RNA". It matches the Rfam family "Bacterial small subunit ribosomal RNA", at positions 527 to 896 of the family's 1533-position model. The record is from RNAcentral.
GUAGGUGGCAAGCGUUGUCCGGAAUUAUUGGGCGUAAAGCGCGCGCAGGGCGGUCCUUUAAGUCUGAUGUGAAAGCCCACGGCCCAACCGUGGAGGGUCAUUGGAAACUGGGGGACUUGAGUACAGAAGAGGAAAGCGGAAUUCCAAGUGUAGCGGUGAAAUGCGUAGAGAUUUGGAGGAACACCAGUGGCGAAGGCGGCUUUCUGGUCUGUAACUGACGCUGAGGCGCGAAAGCGUGGGGAGCAAACAGGAUUAGAUACCCUGGUAGUCCACGCCGUAAACGAUGAGUGCUAAGUGUUAGGGGGUUUCCGCCCCUUAGUGCUGCAGCUAACGCAUUAAGCACUCCGCCUGGGGAGUACGGCCGCAAAGGCUG